RNAcentral lists this long non-coding RNA (571 nucleotides) under Rattus norvegicus (Norway rat). Its description in RNAcentral is "long non-coding RNA NONRATT027613". Lineage: Eukaryota; Metazoa; Chordata; Mammalia; Rodentia; Muridae. The record is from RNAcentral.
CUGUGGAGCAAGAAGCAACCCGAAGCUAGGAGUCUGUCAGCGAGGGCAGGGGCUGCCUGGUUGGGCCUACAGACUACAAGAGAGGAUCCUGGCGUCUGGGCCUCCUGGGUCAUCACCAUGAGGCCACUUCUUGCCCUGCUGCUUCUGGGUCUGGCAUCAGGCUCUCCUCCUCUGGACGACAACAAGAUCCCCAGCCUGUGUCCCGGGCAGCCCGGCCUCCCAGGCACACCAGGCCACCACGGCAGCCAAGGCCUGCCUGGCCGUGACUGGGCCACGUGGGGAGCCCGGGCCGCGUGGAGAGGCAGGACCUGUGGGGGCUAUCGGGCCUGCGGGGGAGUGCUCGGUGCCCCCACGAUCAGCCUUCAGUGCCAAGCGAUCAGAGAGCCGGGUACCUCCGCCAGCCGACACACCCCUACCCUUCGACCGUGUGCUGCUCAAUGAGCAGGGACAUUACGAUGCCACUACCGGCAAGUUCACCUGCCAAGUGCCUGGUGUCUACUACUUUGCUGUCCAUGCCACUGUCUACCGGGCCAGCCUACAGUUUGAUCUUGUCAAAAAUGGCCAAUCCAUA